This 602-nucleotide long non-coding RNA is filed under the name Macaca nemestrina (pig-tailed macaque). RNAcentral's name for it is "lncRNA (ENSMNEG00000046188.1)". The record is from RNAcentral. Lineage: Eukaryota; Metazoa; Chordata; Mammalia; Primates; Cercopithecidae.
AUCUUAUUCCUGGUUACAUGUUAUGUUCCAUUUCCCCAGGUUACUUCACCCCUGAGGGCUCGAUUCAGAAUAGAGAUUGAGAAUCACGGAUCUAGCUGAACCAUCCAACUUUCAAAGAUGAAUAAACUGAGGACCCAGAGGUGAAGUGAUUUUUCCACAGUCCCACCAACAGAUAUGGCCAAACCAGGGAUCCUUUUGCAUUGUGAGACUCUAUUUGACUGAACUGCAAAGAAGAUCAUCUGAUGUCACAGUUGAAUCUAUCCAUGGACCAUAUCAUUUGAGUGAUAUUAUGACCAGUCAUCAGGCCUCUCCAGUUCUCUGGGUUCUACUCACACCCUCUAUGCCAGUAUCACAGAAGUAAUGGCACUCUAUGAGAUUACGACUCUAUCUUAUUCCCUAAAGGUGAGCAACCAGAGGUGGGCUUGUGCUUUUCCUUCCUGUGUUCUCAGGAGCUAGCAUAGGGAGUGACAGAGGAGAAUGCACAGAAGUUGCCUGUUGAAUGUUGAAUUAGUACCAGGAGCAUAAUGAAUAUAUCAUAUGUUGAAUGAUAAAAAAAUUGAAAAUGUCUUUGGGAAGACAAGAAAGCCUAAGUUUUCCAAGUG